This 369-nucleotide ribosomal RNA is filed under the name uncultured bacterium. RNAcentral describes it as "bacterial SSU rRNA". It matches the Rfam family "Bacterial small subunit ribosomal RNA", at positions 30 to 402 of the family's 1533-position model. The record is from RNAcentral.
AUUGAACGCUGGCGGCAUGCCUUACACAUGCAAGUCGAACGGCAGCACGGGAGCAAUCCUGGUGGCGAGUGGCGAACGGGUGAGUAAUAAAUAUCGGAACGUGCCCAGUCGUGGGGGAUAACGUAGCGAAAGCUACGCUAAUACCGCAUACGAUCUAUGGAUGAAAGCGGGGGAUCGCAAGACCUCGCGCGAUUGGAGCGGCCGAUAUCAGAUUAGGUAGUUGGUGAGGUAAAGGCUCACCAAGCCGACGAUCUGUAGCUGGUCUGAGAGGACGACCAGCCACACUGGGACUGAGACACGGCCCAGACUCCUACGGGAGGCAGCAGUGGGAUUUUGGACAUGGCGNAAGCCUGAUCAGCAAUGCCGCGU